GUAGGUGGCGAGCGUUGUCCGGAAUUAUUGGGCGUAAAGCGCGCGCAGGCGGUUCUUUAAGUCUGAUGUGAAAGCCCACGGCUCAACCGUGGAGGGUCAUUGGAAACUGGAGAACUUGAGUACAGAAGAGGAAAGCGGAAUUCCACGUGUAGCGAUGAAAUGCGUAGAGAUGUGGAGGAACACCAGUGGCGAAGGCGGCUUUCUGGUCUGUAACUGACGCUGAGGCGCGAAAGCGUGGGGAGCAAACAGGAUUAGAUACCCUGGUAGUCCACGCCGUAAACGAUGAGUGCUAAGUGUUAGGGGGGUUUUCCGCCCCCCUUAGUGCUGCAGCUAACGCAUUAAGCACUCCGCCUGGGAGUACGGCCGCAAGGCUG
RNAcentral lists this ribosomal RNA (374 nucleotides) under uncultured organism. RNAcentral's name for it is "partial 16S ribosomal RNA". It matches the Rfam family "Bacterial small subunit ribosomal RNA", at positions 527 to 896 of the family's 1533-position model. The record is from RNAcentral.